This 58-nucleotide transfer RNA is filed under the name Dipodomys ordii (Ord's kangaroo rat). It matches the Rfam family "tRNA", at positions 8 to 63 of the family's 71-position model. Rfam says of the family: Transfer RNA (tRNA) molecules are approximately 80 nucleotides in length. Their secondary structure includes four short double-helical elements and three loops (D, anti-codon, and T loops). Further hydrogen bonds mediate the characteristic L-shaped molecular structure. tRNAs have two regions of fundamental functional importance: the anti-codon, which is responsible for specific mRNA codon recognition, and the 3' end, to which the tRNAs corresponding amino acid is attached (by aminoacyl-tRNA synthetases). tRNAs cope with the degeneracy of the genetic code in two manners: having more than one tRNA (with a specific anti-codon) for a particular amino acid; and 'wobble' base-pairing, i.e. permitting non-standard base-pairing at the 3rd anti-codon position. The record is from Rfam by way of RNAcentral. Lineage: Eukaryota; Metazoa; Chordata; Mammalia; Rodentia; Heteromyidae.
UGGCUCAGUGGUAGAGCGCUUGCCUUGCAUGCCUGAGGCCCUGAGUUCGAUUUCUCAG